GGUCAUCUUUAAAGCCCUUUCUGUAUCUCAGCCGCUUCACGUUCCUUCCACCUCCAUCCGGUGUACGUCAAUCGUGUUCUUGUUCUUCGGGCCCAGGUAGUUCACCGGAUUUACGGCAGCUACUUUUUGUCUCUCUUCAGUUCCGCGAGGCAGUGAAGGGUGGACCCAGGUGACGCUGCACACACCGUGAGUGUACAUGACAGGCUUUACUUUUCUGAAGGACUUCACUCAUCCAGAAUAGACUUGGAGACUUGAGGCUGAAGAAUAAUUAUUCAUUCUUUUUCAAGUCUUAGGACAGCCGAAACACAAGUCUUAAUUUUACAGCCACUAGGACAUCCAUGAGCCAACAAAUAUUUCUCUGCAUAGCCCACUAGGAUGCCAGAAUGAUGCACACUUCUGUAGAGCUGAGUGCAGGUAAAGUGAAAUGACAGUAAAUUUAAACUCAGUCUCAGCCUCCCCAGUCUGGAUUCACUGCUGGAGCUCGCUGUGUUUCUGCUGGAACCAGACAGAACAUGGAUGAGCAGAGAUAGGGCAGUAUCAUGGAUCACCAGGAAAAUACUCCUUAUCCAUGAGCAACUGCAUCAUGGGGGGAGACUCUAGUCAAUUUAGUGCUUAGCUUAGUAGGGAAGUUGAAGUGUUCUAAAGAAGAGAUGCCAGUUUUUAACAAAGCCUUUCUGGAGAGCAUCUUUGAAAUCAUCACCAGUCUUUGCAGGUCUGGGUUCAGAUAGAAUCGUCUGUGUUGAAAAUAAAUUGAUAUACUGUAAAAGGGACUAGCAGGAUAAUUUAUAUUCAGCAGAGGCUCAAAUACUAAUUCAGAGAGAAGAUUUCAAGAUGAAAUGUAUCCUGGAGUUAAAAAAAAAAUCUAAUUACCUUGACUACUGCAUUUCUUAGCAAACCACAUUUUACUUUUGUAUAUGAGCUAUGAAGGCAGUGUUCUAGUAGGGUCUUAUGGAGUGUGUUUUUUCAUUAAAAUCUAUAGAAUUUGUAUAUUCAUGAGAACAAAAAUGAUAAAAUUUUCAGAAAAUUGAUUCAGAAUGGUCAUUUUUAAUAAGCAUAUCUGUCUCUAAAACCAGAUUCUUCAUUUAUAUUUUAUUAAUUACAUUUAUUUCAAGUCUUAUUAGAAAACAUGUUGAAAUCAUACAAUUUGGAUUUCAAGAAAGAAAAAUACAUAUGAUUUGCAUCUUCUUACUACAUUUUUUUUUCUAUAUGCUAGUGGUAUGUAUUUUUGCUUUUCAUCUUCAUGGGGGUUCACAAUCCUGUUUUUUGUACAUUUUGCUAAUCCUUCAAUUUACAAUGUAUUUUAGAUGCCCUUGCCUGAUUAAAGCACCCGAACAAAUUACAGCCAAGAGAAAAAUAACACAUGUCACCUUUGCAGGUUUAAGCUAUCAUAAUCUUUAACUUUCCUGUCAAAGGAAUUCUUGUCUUCCUUUUGUGCAAAUAUUUAAUUGCUCAGGAUAAUCCAAUUUAUGUUGUCAGGAAGUAGGAAAAUAUAGCGUAUUCUGAAUAUGACCUUCUUUGUUAAAUAUUCUGCUGGCAUCACUCAUGGUUGCUGAAUUGCACAAGCUAUCGAAAUAGAUCUGGAAGCCAACAAGGACCCUGAUUAUGAAUAACAAGCUAUGCUUUAUUAAUCUUCCAAAUAGCUACACAAAUGUUCUUUUUCUCCCAACUUCUUGGAAGAAGAGCAGCAUAAUGGGUAGAUCAAUGGAGUUAACAAAGAAAAGAACAUCACUGUUCGAUUUUUAAAGUUUUAGUCUGUUCUUAUUAUGUUUCUCUUGUUAGCCACAAAGCAAUUUAAUACUCUUUCUGCUUCCUUAUGAUAUUGCAUUUCUUGAAAUUAAAAGGUGAAUACUAUAAGACUUA
Long non-coding RNA from Felis catus (domestic cat), 1860 nucleotides. RefSeq lists it as uncharacterized. The record is from RefSeq and is a predicted model, not a curated record. Lineage: Eukaryota; Metazoa; Chordata; Mammalia; Carnivora; Felidae. The transcript is spliced from 7 exons.